AUUGAACGCUGGCGGCAGGCCUAACACAUGCAAGUCGAGCGGAUGAAGGGAGCUUGCUCCUGGAUCCAGCGGCGGACGGGUGAGUAAUGCCUAGGAAUCUGCCUGGUAGUGGGGGAUAACGUCCGGAAACGGGCGCUAAUACCGCAUACGUCCUGAGGGAGAAAGUGGGGGAUCUUCGGACCUCACGCUAUCAGAUGAGCCUAGGUCGGAUUAGCUAGUUGGUGGGGUAAAGGCCUACCAAGGCGACGAUCCGUAACUGGUCUGAGAGGAUGAUCAGUCACACUGGAACUGAGACACGGUCCAGACUCCUACGGGAGGCAGCAGUGGGGAAUAUUGGACAAUGGGCGAAAGCCUGAUCCAGCCAUGCCGCGUGUGUGAAGAAGGUCUUCGGAUUGUAAAGCACUUUAAGUUGGGAGGAAGGGCAGUAAGUUAAUACCUUGCUGUUUUGACGUUACCAACAGAAUAAGCACAGGCUAACUUCGUG
Molecule: ribosomal RNA, 484 nt
Filed under: uncultured bacterium
Lineage: Bacteria
Description: partial 16S ribosomal RNA
Rfam family: Bacterial small subunit ribosomal RNA
Source: RNAcentral